This 84-nucleotide transfer RNA is filed under the name Yamadazyma tenuis ATCC 10573. RNAcentral's name for it is "Candida tenuis ATCC 10573 tRNA". It matches the Rfam family "tRNA". Rfam says of the family: Transfer RNA (tRNA) molecules are approximately 80 nucleotides in length. Their secondary structure includes four short double-helical elements and three loops (D, anti-codon, and T loops). Lineage: Eukaryota; Fungi; Ascomycota; Pichiomycetes; Serinales; Debaryomycetaceae. The record is from Rfam by way of RNAcentral. RNAcentral also lists the same sequence under 1 other name.
GGAGGGUUGGCCGAGUGGUCUAAGGCGGCAGACUUAAGAUCUGUUGGAGAGUUCUCCGCGCGAGUUCGAACCUCGCAUCCUUCA